CCAAUAUUCACUCUAUCAUGCUGAUGGAAAGCCUGUACACGAGUAUUUGGAUAACAAAAAGCGGAGGUUGUUUAUCUUGGAGAGGCAUUGGGGACUUCGCGAGAGGAUUUUGUUCUAUAGCUAUACAACAGUUACUGGUUGGCCCUUAUUGUUAGCUCUAGUCGCAGGAGAAGCUGCCAUACAAGUUUGAGCUAACGGCCCCUACUGAUGCAGUGAAAAAAGUUCUUCAAAUUUUAGAAGGCAUAUAUGAACCACAAGGAAUUAACGUCCCAAAGCCCAUCCAUUCAAAUUUGGUUCCUACUCCAUCUUUGCGCUAGCCAGCCACCAUGCAUGGAUCAUUUCUCACUGGGCUUAGAGAAGCUGCAAAGAUGGCCGAUCACGCUAGUAUUAGAAAAUUGCAUUUGAAGGCUGAGAAGAGAAAAACCGAGAUAAGGUGUUGUAAAGUCAAGAGUAGCCACUAUCAAGUAAAAAAUAGUC
This is a long non-coding RNA of Solanum tuberosum (potato), 477 nucleotides long. RefSeq lists it as uncharacterized. The record is from RefSeq and is a predicted model, not a curated record. The transcript is spliced from 3 exons. Lineage: Eukaryota; Viridiplantae; Streptophyta; Magnoliopsida; Solanales; Solanaceae.